GUGAUGUAAUCACCUCAUCAAGGCAAAUUUGUGUACCCUUCCUGACCCCUGUGACACACUGGAGCAAGGUACAGGUGCACGGCACGCUGUGUACUAUCACCCUGUGUCCACAUCAGCCCUUUGCACCGAUAUAUAGUUGCACUAACUGCCCAACAGCAAGAUUUGAUAGGAAUGAUGACCUAAGCACAGACCCUUGUUUGCUAACUCUGCUUUUUUGGGGCUGCAGGAAUUAGAAAGAAAAGGCAAAGCCGUGUUUGCUCUGUGCUGAGCCCUGAUUCCAUGGGAAUGCAUUGCAACACCCGCUGCAGUGAGCCCUGCUUUCCAGGCAGAGGAUGGUUGGCACCACACAGUGCAGUGGUGAGGUGAGCAGAAACAGCAGCCUUGCUGGAAACUGCUCUCAGAUGAGAUCUGAAACAGCUGUGGUCCCCUGAAGGUAUAGAAGAGGCAACACAGAGUUUAUGCAGUCCUCCAAGCCUUGGCUCAUCGUUGUAUGAAUGGCUUUAAGCUGCACCAGGGGAGGCUCAGGAUGGAUACUGGGAGAAAACUCUACUCCAAAAGAGUGGCGCACAGCUGCCCAGGGAGUGGUGGGGUCGCCAUCCCUGGAGGUGUUCCUGAGCCAUGGGGAUGUGGCACUGAGGGAUGUGGUCAGCGAGCACGAUGGGAUGGGUUGGGGAUCUGAGACAUCUUUGCCAACCUGAGCAAUUCUAUGAAUACAUUCCAUGAAUCCAUUGGGUUGGGAAGGGAAGGAAUGUGGGCAGAUCCUGGCAUCGUGAGGGGGGUGCUGCAGGUCUGUGGGGCGUGGGCAGAGUCCUGCAAUAGCUAUUAUCUAUAUAUAUAUUAUCUAUAAUAGAUCCAGGCUGAGAAAGUGCGUUCCUGGGGAGAGAAGGGCUCAUCUGGCAUGUGGUGGCAGGUGGAUUUCUUCACCCAGUGAGGAAAGGGACUGGAUUUCAAUAAAAGUGAUGACUCAACUUCUAGAUGGAGGCUGAGAAGAAAAACCACCUCCAGCUCGCUUCGGGGUGAAAGCUCGAGAUCUUUCCAGGAAAGGAGCUUCUCCUGGUGCUGCUCCCGAUCCUGGAGGAGGGCUCUGAGCAGCAUUGCUGCUCUCUGCCUGCAGCCCAGGCUGCCUCCUCCGCUUCCUCGCUCUCUGCUCGCAGUAACCUGAGUCCGUCCUUCCCCUUUUCCUUACUUCCCUCGUGCUCGGGCUUGCUGCUGAGCAGCCCCGGAGCCAGGAGGGAGGCAGCAGGACGGGAGCAGGGAGAGGUGGAGGGAAGGGGAAGGCACGACGAGAAAAGCGAGGAAAAAGGAAAUCUCUGCCACCCCUCAGUAAAUUGAUCCCGGUUUUGCAGCGGCUGCAGCUGAGAACUACAGGCUGGAAGCAGGGGAGGAUGAAAGGAAAGGGAGAGGUGGCAGAGGGCUCAUGCAUUCCACGUGGGGCAGCACAGGGCGGUGGGCAUGGGGUCAGGUAGGGGUGGUUGUGCACGGAGGAGCACACCUGCCUCCCCUCCAGCUGCUCUCAUGGGCCGCCUGAUAAUGCAGCCAGGUCGGUAUGAUCGCCCAACUUCCCACCAGCCAACACGGUUCGCCUGCCAGGAUUAAUCAUUACAUCAAAUGCAAAGCUUUGGAAAAAAAAAAAAACCAACCUGAAACAGCCCUGGCUGUAUAAAGACCUGAAUGACUACUGGCAAACCGAGCAGAGUGCUCUUUGCUGCCCUGCCCUGCACAGGAGGAGGGCAGUGGUUGGCACAGGGUGCAUACACGCUGGUGUUAGGGUUCUCUCCCCUUGCUGUAGCUUGCUUCUGGGAUCUUCCGUGUCGCUUUGCUGCUGCUGAGGCCGUGCUGUGGUGGGGGCUGGCUGUGCUGGAAGGCAGGGAAUAGCAGGGUGUGCUUGGAGGUUGUGUUUGGAGCAGAGCCCCUCUCUCUGACCCCACCUCCUUUCCCCCUUUCUGAGAUGCUGGCCUCUUUCAACUGACAGCCCGCUUUCCUGGCAGGCUUGUUAGCUUUAGCUGGAACAAUUUCCUUUGAACUCAGCUUGAAUUAACAUCUCCAUGGCAAUAGGAUCGGGGCUUUGUCUCUCACAACCUGCCCUUCACCCUCAACAAGAGGUCCAUCCAGGAGGUGGGAAGGGAGCACCACCACCUCCUCCUGGGGAAAGGCAGAGGCUGGGAGCACAGCCCGGGGUUCCCCGGGGAGGGGAAGCUGCAGCAGAUGCUGGCAGGUUGGAGCUGGGUUUGGGUUAGCUUGCUGCAUGGAAGCCAGCGAGUGAGUGUGUGUUGGGGGUAAGAGGAAAGCAACUUGCUUCCCUUCACCAUAAACAACCACAAACACAGUUCCCUAGGGUGGGAUGUCUCUGGGCUGAGCCAGUGCAGUAGGAGGAAAAUGAUGCUGUACCUAAACUGAGCACUUCCACUCUGCCCAUCCACCUCUGUCCCACAACACUCAGCUCCCCACCGCUGCAAGCAUCUCCAUCUCUACCCCAUGUGCUCCUUCACCCCCAGGGCUCCGGGGUCCUGCUGGAGGAGCAGGGGCUCUAUCACCAGUCCAUGCCAUGCAUUCAUCCAACCCAUCCCUCCCACCAUGCCUCCUUUCCCCUGCAGUCUGAAGAAGCCACAUGUAAGUCAAUAGCAGCACUGGCAGGAAGCUGAGCUGAAAACCCCACUGCCCUGCAAGCCCAACCCCAGUGCACCUCUGGCUGUUUGCCCAUCACCUUACUCCUCACUGCUCCCUUCUUCCAGCUGCUCCAAACCUCAACCUUUGCAUGUCUGCCAACCUCACAUCAUCCCCAUCACCUGGGCACCGGAUUGCCCACUUCAUUCCCCCCCACCACGGCCCACGUGGGUCUGUCUGUUUGGCAUUAGUGGGCUCUUGCUAACAAUAUGGGGUUGUUUUUUUUUCCCUCUUGUGGAGUGAGAGGUUGGUUUUGCAGCCAAGUCUGUAGGUGGGAAAAAAAAGAGGCCUUUUCCUUUGAAUGCCGGGUAAUUUCUUUGAGAGCUGCCUCUGAGAAAUCAAAUCUCAGUUUCUUUUCUUUUUUUGGGGUGGGGGGGGAGCUGGAAGCACAGCAGCAGCACUUCCCUUCCUCCUGCUCCCAAACACCGUGGGGGUGGCAAUGCUCCCAACACCGGGAUGGGCUGCAGGGAUGGAACCCUACAGCAUCCACAGAGGUCCUGCUGGGUGUAAGCUGCAGUCAGGGUCACCUCAGCUGUGGUCCCCAAGGGGCAGGACAAGCUCCUCUGCUCUGUGCCAUGCUCAGGUCUGUGGAGCACCGUGAUGCUCUGGGGUCACGGAAUCAUUAAUGUUGGAAAAGACCUCUAAGAUCAUUGGGCUGUCUCAGGGCCUCGUUUGUUCGGGUUCCUCCUGCCUCCUUCUCCCCCCUGCAGCAGCGCUGCUCCCUCCUCCCGCAGUCCCUGCAGCUGGAUCGCAGCAGGCAGCUCUCAUUCCGUGUUAAUGAGAAACUCCUGCACUUUGUCCCUUGAAAUGGAGCCACGUUCGCCACGUGACUGCAGGGAAGGGUUUCGGUGAAGGCAGUAGAGAGAAAGAGGGAAGGCAGGGGGCUGAGCACCCGCGGGUGCUGGGCUGGGAGGUGGGAGGCAGCUGAGGGAUGUGAGAUCUCACCCUGCUGACCCCACACUGACUCAGCUCUGUCUGCAUCUCAUUCCUUCAUACCGGGAAGGGGAACUCACCCCCACGCAUGCUGCCUCCCCUCAGCCGGGCUCAGCACACACAAGGCUCUGUUCUCUGUGCUCAGUCACUGUGAAUCACGAACCGGGGGUGGUUUCCUGGAGCUGGGCAGCAGGGUCAGCCCUCACCCGGUGCACCUGGGGCUGCCCUCUCCCCAUGGGAGCCCAAGGAAACCCCCACACUGCUUUGCUGGGGCAGCUGGCAGGAGCAUCACUGUGCAGGAAGAUGACGUAUCCUUGCCACAAGCCCAGCUGUGCUGCCAGCGGGGCCACAAACCUGCCCAGCACCACUGGGGGCAGCUUCUCAUCAGUGCAGCCCCUGCACUGUGGGGAUGCUGUGCCCUGGGAGCCGUGAGCAGGCAGAGCACCGUGCCAAGCACUGCCUCCCUCUGCUUAUCUUCUCCUUCUGGCAGACAGGGCUGCCCUGACCCCACUACGGCCCCAGCCCAGACAGGGAUUCUCUUUCUCUUGCAACCCUGAUCCAAGAGCUGGGCAGGGAAUAUAUGAUUCCUUUUGCAGAGCUGGGAGAAGCUCCAUCAGUUCAGGGCUGUAGAUUAACUGCUGGGGCCAAAUCUCUUUAGGCUUCAGGGUCCUGGAAGUUGGCAGAACACCUUGCUUGUUGUGCACUGGGGGGAAGACAAAGCUUCCCAGCUCGUGCACUGUUGCUGUCCCCCUCCUAUGGGGUGGGUGGGGAGGCAGAGCCACAGAAAGCUCUCAACCAGCUGUGAUUUUUCACCAGAAUCCGAGAACCCGGCAGGAAUCAGCAGCUGCACUUAAUCAUGCCGGGUCAUUAAAGUGACACAGCAGCUCUGUAGGGAAGGGGAGAAGCCUGUCUGAAAUUGCCAGACAUGAAACCAGAAAAGGUCCUGAGAAAGGCUGAGGAGGAAAAUAUUCCUGGGAGCCUUGGUGGUGUGCCCAGCUGGUGAGAUCUGUGGCUCAUGGCCAUGGGGCUGGGAGUGGGACAGGACAGAGGGUUACCUGCCAGAGUUGGGUUUCUCUGCUGGCCUCGUGCUUUAUCAGUCCCCCAGGAGCGCUGAACCGAGGCCAGGCAGGGAGGAAAGCUUUUCCUUCGCUCCAUCCCCCAAAUGCCACAUCAGCAGCGGGCUGCAGGAUGACCUCAAUGAGGAACAGAUUGUCCCUUGGCCUGCCUCCACCUCCCUGCAGCGGGGAUGUCGGGACCCUGAGAUGGGGAAAUGGGAUGAGCCGUGCGCUGCAAUAACAGCAGCCACAGGCAAAGCAGCCAGGCUGGGACAGGAGCUGGCACGUGGGGGUUUCCUUCUGUCAUCUCCAGCCUUGUUGGCAGUGCCCAGUGAAGAUUUACAACAGCCAAAAUUGUGAUCAAUUGGCAGAGCUGGAAGCAUCCCAGCUCUGUCCUGUUGUGUUUGAGCCCCCGGCACUGCCUGGCUGCUCCCAAAGGGGGGGAUGGAGAAGGCACUGGGAAAGUGAUGGCACAGAGGGGGUGCUGGGUGGCUCCUGAGCAGUUCCCCUGACUGGCUUCAGAGAGCCGCAGGAUGGGUAGAAGGUUGAACAUUCAGGUUGGAUAGUAGGCAAGAUUUCUUCUCCUAAAGAGUGGUGAUGCAUUGGCACAGCUGCCCAGGGGAGGUGGUGGGGUCACCAUCCCUGGAGGUGUUCAGGAAACAUGGAGAUGUGGCACUGAGGGAUGCGGUCAGUGGGCAUGGUGGGAUGGGUUGGGUUGGGAUUGGGGAUCUGAGAGGUCUCCAACCUCAAUGAUUCCAUGAUUCUACGACACGCUUGGCCUUGCUAUGUUGUUGCAAAGGCAAUUUUCAGCAAGCUUUAAAACUACAUGAGAUGAGAUGACACAGAAUGCAUCUGUCCAUAGAGACGUGGAUUGCUUUCGAUUAACUUGUUGCUUGGGUGUCUUUUUUUAAUGCUGUUUGAUGCAGUGGGACUGCCAGUCCAACAAACUGCCUCGUUUUGCAGAAUGUUCCAGGAAAGCAUGGGAAACCUUUCCAGCUCGAUCUGCAAGAGAAAUAUUUGCAUUUCCCUCCAGGCUGAUUUGUAACCUAGAUUGCUG
RNAcentral lists this long non-coding RNA (5709 nucleotides) under Gallus gallus (chicken). RNAcentral describes it as "lncRNA (ENSGALG00010026226.1)". Lineage: Eukaryota; Metazoa; Chordata; Aves; Galliformes; Phasianidae. The record is from RNAcentral.